AGGUCAAGCUACAAAGGGCGCAUGGUGAAUGCCUUGGCAUCAGGAGCCGAUGAAGGACGUGAUAAGCUGCGAUAAGCUUCGGGUAGGCGCACAUAGCCUGAGAUCCGAAGAUCUCCGAAUGAGGAAACUCACAUGGGAAACCCCAUGUAUCAUUAAGUGAAUACAUAGCUUAAUGAAGGUAACCCAGGGAACUGAAACAUCUAAGUACCUGGAGGAAGAGAAAGAAAAAUCGAUUUUCUUAGUAGCGGCGAGCGAAAGGGAAAGAGCCCAAACCGGAAACUUGUUUCCGGGGUUGUGGACAUAACAUAAAAGUGGAGGCUAUUGUAACUGAAGAGAACUGGAAAGUUCCACCGUAGAAGGUAAUAGUCCUGUAAGUGAAACGAGAAGACCACGAGUUAUGAUCCAGAGUACCACGAGACACGUGAAACCUUGUGGGAAGCAGGGAGGACCACCUCCCAAGGCUAAAUACUACCUGAUGACCGAUAGUGAAGCAGUACCGUGAGGGAAAGGUGAAAAGAACCCCGGGAGGGGAGUGAAAUAGAACCUGAAACCGUGUGCCUACAACCGCUCAGAGCCCCUUAUGAGGGUGAUGAGGUGCUUUUUGUAGAACGAGCCAACGAGUUACGGUAUGUAGCAAGGUUAAGUACUUAAGGUACGGAGCCGAAGGGAAACCGAGUCUGAAUAGGGCGACUAGUUGCAUGCCGUAGACCCGAAACCGGGUGACCUAUCCAUGGCCAGGUUGAAGCGAGGGUAAAACCUCGUGGAGGACCGAACCACGUUGCUGUUGAAAAAGCAUGGGAUGAGCUGUGGAUAGCGGAGAAAUUCCAAUCGAACCCGGAGAUAGCUGGUUCUCUCCGAAAUAGCUUUAGGGCUAGCGUCGAGUAUGAGUAGUGGAGGUAGAGCACUGAAUGGGCUAGGGGGCAUAGCGCUUACCGAACCUUAUCAAACUCCGAAUGCCACAUACUUUGAGCUCGGCAGUCAGACUACGAAUGAUAAGAUCCGUGGUCAAAAGGGAAACAGCCCAGAUCGUCAGCUAAGGUCCCAAAGUGUAAGUUAAGUGGGAAAGGAUGUGAGAUUUCUAAGACAACUAGGAUGUUGGCUUAGAAGCAGCCAUUCAUUAAAAGAGUGCGUAAUAGCUCACUAGUCGAGAGAUCUUGCGCCGAAAAUGUAACGGGGCUAAACUUACCACCGAAGCUACGGGCUUGAACUUAGUUCAAGCGGUAGGAGAGCGUCGUAACCGGGCUGAAGUCGUACCGUAAGGAGCGGUGGACUGGUUACGAGUGAGAAUGUUGGCAUCAGUAGCGAGAUGUGGGUGAGAAUCCCACAGGCCGAAAACCUAAGGUUUCCUCAGGAAGGUUCGUCCGCUGAGGGUUAGUCGGGACCUAAGCCGAGGCCGAAAGGCGUAGGUGAUGGACAACUGGUUGAUAUUCCAGUACCACUACCAUCGUUAUUAUCGAUGGCGUGACGCAGGAGGAUAGUGUGUGCUAGCUAUUGGAUGCUAGUCUAAGCGUUUAGGCAGUGAGAGUAGGCAAAUCCGCUCUCAUAAUGCUGAGGCGUGAUGGGGAAGGUUCUACGGAACUGAAGUACAUGAUUCCACGCUGCCAAGAAAAGCGUCUAGAGAGAGAAGUAGUGCCCGUACCGCAAACCGACACAGGUAGGUGAGGAGAGAAUCCUAAGGCCGGCGGAAGAAUUACAGUUAAGGAACUCGGCAAAUUGACCCCGUAAGUUCGCGAGAAGGGGUGCCUACGAGAGUAGGCCGCAGAGAAUAGGCCCAAGCAACUGUUUAGCAAAAACACAGGUCUCUGCUAAAGCGUAAGCUGAUGUAUAGGGGCUGACGCCUGCCCGGUGCUGGAAGGUUAAGGGGAACACUUAGCGCAAGCGAAGGUGUGAACUUAAGCCCCAGUAAACGGCGGCCGUAACUAUAACGGUCCUAAGGUAGCGAAAUUCCUUGUCAGGUAAGUUCUGACCCGCACGAAUGGCGUAAUGACUUGGGCACUGUCUCAACUGUAAAUCCGGCGAAGUUGUAGUGCGAGUGAAGAUGCUCGCUACCCGCGAUUGGACGGAAAGACCCCGUAGAGCUUUACUGUAGCUUAGCAUUGAGUUUUGGUAUUGUCUGUACAGG
RNAcentral lists this ribosomal RNA (2122 nucleotides) under Clostridium perfringens. RNAcentral's name for it is "partial 23S ribosomal RNA". It matches the Rfam family "Bacterial large subunit ribosomal RNA", at positions 1 to 2142 of the family's 2925-position model. Lineage: Bacteria; Bacillati; Bacillota; Clostridia; Eubacteriales; Clostridiaceae. The record is from RNAcentral.